This 510-nucleotide ribosomal RNA is filed under the name uncultured Bacteroides sp. RNAcentral's name for it is "bacterial SSU rRNA". It matches the Rfam family "Bacterial small subunit ribosomal RNA", at positions 27 to 524 of the family's 1533-position model. Lineage: Bacteria; Pseudomonadati; Bacteroidota; Bacteroidia; Bacteroidales; Bacteroidaceae. The record is from RNAcentral.
GGAUGAACGCUAGCUACAGGCUUAACACAUGCAAGUCGAGGGGCAGCAUGGUCUUAGCUUGCUAAGGCUGAUGGCGACCGGCGCACGGGUGAGUAACACGUAUCCAACCUGCCGUCUACUCUUGGCCAGCCUUCUGAAAGGAAGAUUAAUCCAGGAUGGGAUCAUGAGUUCACAUGUCCGCAUGAUUAAAGGUAUUUUCCGGUAGACGAUGGGGAUGCGUUCCAUUAGAUAGUAGGCGGGGUAACGGCCCACCUAGUCAACGAUGGAUAGGGGUUCUGAGAGGAAGGUCCCCCACAUUGGAACUGAGACACGGUCCAAACUCCUACGGGAGGCAGCAGUGAGGAAUAUUGGUCAAUGGGCGAUGGCCCGAACCAGCCAAGUAGCGUGAAGGAUGACUGCCCUAUGGGUUGUAAACUUCUUUUAUAAAGGAAUAAAGUCGGGUAUGCAUACCCGUUUGCAUGUACUUUAUGAAUAAGGAUCGGCUAACUCCGUGCCAGCAGCCGCGGUAAU